This is a microRNA precursor of Ciona intestinalis (vase tunicate), 59 nucleotides long. Ensembl annotates it as cin-mir-4012-2. The record is from Ensembl. Lineage: Eukaryota; Metazoa; Chordata; Ascidiacea; Phlebobranchia; Cionidae.
AAGCUUAUGUUCAUGUAUGCUGUGUGUAUAUAUGUGGUACAGCAUUAUGUAUGUGAGCU